GACGAACGCUGGCGGCGUGCUUAACACAUGCAAGUCGAACGGUAAGGCCCUUCGGGGUACACGAGUGGCGAACGGGUGAGUAACACGUGGGUGAUCUGCCCUGCACUUCGGGAUAAGCCUGGGAAACUGGGUCUAAUACCGGAUAGGACCACUGCCCGCAUGGGUGGUGGUGGAAAGGUUUUGCGGUGUGGGAUGGGCCCGCGGCCUAUCAGCUUGUGGGUGGGGUGAUGGCCUACUAAGGCGACGACGGGUAGCCGGCCUGGGAGGGUGACCGGCCACACUGGGACUGAGAUACGGCCCAGACUCCUACGGGAGGCAGCAGUGGGGAAUAUUGCACAAUGGGCGCAAGCCUGAUGCAGCGACGCCGCGUGAGGGAUGACGGCCUUCGGGUUGUAAACCUCUUUCAGCACCGACGAAGCGCAAGUGACGGUAGGUGCAGAAGAAGGACCGGCCAACUACGUGCCAGCCGCCGCUGUAA
This 478-nucleotide ribosomal RNA is filed under the name uncultured bacterium. RNAcentral's name for it is "partial 16S ribosomal RNA". It matches the Rfam family "Bacterial small subunit ribosomal RNA", at positions 28 to 523 of the family's 1533-position model. The record is from RNAcentral.